Molecule: RNA transcript, 2254 nt
Organism: Actinia tenebrosa (Australian red waratah sea anemone)
Lineage: Eukaryota; Metazoa; Cnidaria; Anthozoa; Actiniaria; Actiniidae
Source: RefSeq, a predicted model, not a curated record
UGUAAUAUGUCAUAGGAAGGCGGCAUGAUCAGAUGGACUGCUUUCCCAUCAGCCCCAACUUGUGCUGUCAGGUCGAGCUCAAGGCAGCUCAGCGUUGCCGCAAUUGUUUCGAUUUGAACGUCGAAGCGCUCGCACUGUUCAUCAGUCUAUCUCACAGUGUGAUGCGUACCAGGUCAUAAAGUCCUUCAAAUCUAUGCGAGGACUAGUGAGAAUGGCUUCUCUUGGCACUUGGCAUGCUCAUAUCUACGACACUCCACCAAAACAGCCGACCCCGUAUUUUGUAGCCACUAUUCUCGGCCUAGACGCUACUCACAUGCCAGUAUUUACAACAAGAAGUUCUAAAUCCAAGACGGCGCUGGCCGAGUCCAACGGGCUAGACUCGAAUUUACCGAAUAACGAAACCAAAGAGACCACAAGUCGGGUUAAAAAAUCAGAGGCUCAAUCACAGCUCUCUGAUAGCGAUAAAGACACCUCGAUAAAGACUCAAGGCUCUCACUCGAAGAACCAGAAACGCGUUGUCAAGGGUAAAAUAGAUAAAGAUAACAGUAAAACUAGUAAGAAGAAAAAGAAAGCUCGGACGACUUUCACUGGCCGGCAGAUAUUCGAACUAGAGAAACAAUUCGACGCGAAAAAGUACUUGACGGCGAACGAACGCAGCGAUAUGGCUGCACUGUUGAACGUUACGGAAACUCAGGUGAAAAUUUGGUUUCAGAAUAGAAGGACUAAAUGGAAAAAGCAAGAGAAAYUGGUGGAGAAUGACUCAAAUGUGUCCACGGGAAACAACAUUGAACUGUCACACGAGUCCAUGGAUGAAAGCGGCUCAGACAGUAGAGCGAAUUCUCCCGACGGUCAAAAUCCUUCCAACGAAAAGAAUAUGGAAGAGGAAGAAGAUGUUUCUUCGGAGUAGAGGAAAAUCGUGGUAACUUGGGUAUCAGUAAAACUGUUAGUUCAGCUGGUAUGAAGCAGACGUUAAAAGCCCCCGAGUAUUGGUUGGUGUACUUGGAAAGCAAUUACUUCCAUCCAUUAACAAAGUAUAUAAACAGACAAUGCCAAAGCAAAUAAAGACUAGUGAGGUUGGAUGUCAGAAACGAUUUUCUUUUUAGAGUUUUUGCUGUUAUAUUGGAAGCCAAACGAAGAGUUCUUUUAGCACCUGCAGGAAAAAAUUACACAGGAAAUAACGCUCUUGUUUAUGAGUGACUUAGAAGAACACGAUCACACCAAGAAGGGCAUCUGGUGCAGAAAUACCAAGACAUGCUUGUUACACCUUAGAGAUUUUUGAUUAUUUUUGAUGGUGGGAAUAUUUUUGUUUGUUUACCUUGAGUUAUUGUAUCUUGCUCCUUCAUCAAUGUUUUCACUAAAUGGGUAACUAAAAUGAAAGACAAAAUAUUAAAUAUCUAGGCUUUCUUGAAACUGUCUCUGGCUGAUCAAACUCAGGGCACAGCUAACUCAAAGAUUGAAUCGGAAUUUAGAGUGUAAGGUUUUGCAGAGGGAUUAAAGCAGAGAACCUGGAGAAAAAUGUUUUAAUCAAGGGAAAGACCUAACAAAUGCCACUCACACGUGAUCUGUUGAGUCUAGGAAUUAAACCCAAGACACAGAGGUGAUAGGCAAGUGCACUAUGACUGUGGUGCUACUUUUGAUUCCCUUAUCUAGCUAUUAUCUAGCUGAUAGUAUGCCAGGAAUUGCACCAAUAGACAAGAACUUGUAGGUUUUCCACCCUCUACAAUUUAAAAACAAUAAUAUGCUAAAUAUCAGGCAAUUUUCAAUUGGUGAGAUAGCCAUGCCCUAACUUUGAUCUGCCCAGAGGUUGUUUGAGAGCAAUGAUAAAAAUUGAAAGUUCAACUUUAAGAAAAAAUGAUAGCAAAUUUACUUUUGAAAUACAAAGAUAAUGCAAAAACUGUUAUAGUGAAUGUUCUUUACCUUGGUGGGAAAGAUAUACUGUAUUCAUAUAAUUCCCGCUUAAAUUCCUCAAGUUCCUUGUUGUACUUUUGGAAUCUUUUUCCAUUGUCAUGAUGAAAAUGACUCUGAUCUUGUACUAUAAACUUACGAUGUUCUAAUGUCAGAACAAUCUGUACAACAGAAACAGUAACUAGUGUUCAGUAAAUAGGUUUAAAGGAUUAUGGAAGGGGAGGGGGAGGAAAGAGGUUUAUGCUUCACCCCAAAUAUUGACCACAUCAUACACUGUACUUCAUUUUAAGAAGGCAUUUAGCAAGAUAAGACAAGUAAAACAUUCUGACCAAUUUCUGGUUCAUUUGAA